CGGGAGUUACGUCAAUUUGGUAGACGGCGUGCCUUGGACGCACGAGGCUGUGGGUUCGAAUCCCGCACUUCCGACCA
RNAcentral lists this transfer RNA (77 nucleotides) under Caudoviricetes sp. RNAcentral describes it as "tRNA-Pro". It matches the Rfam family "tRNA". From Rfam's summary of the family: Transfer RNA (tRNA) molecules are approximately 80 nucleotides in length. The record is from RNAcentral. Lineage: Duplodnaviria; Heunggongvirae; Uroviricota; Caudoviricetes.